Molecule: ribosomal RNA, 253 nt
Filed under: uncultured bacterium
Lineage: Bacteria
Description: partial 16S ribosomal RNA
Rfam family: Bacterial small subunit ribosomal RNA
Source: RNAcentral
UACGUAGGGUGCAAGCGUUGUCCGGAAUUAUUGGGCGUAAAGAGCUCGUAGGCGGUUCGUCGCGUCGGCUGUGAAAACCCGAGGCUCAACCUCGGGCCUGCAGUCGAUACGGGCGGACUGGAGUUCGGCAGGGGAGACUGGAAUUCCUGGUGUAGCGGUGAAAUGCGCAGAUAUCAGGAGGAACACCGGUGGCGAAGGCGGGUCUCUGGGCAGUAACUGACGCUGAGGAGCGAAAGCGUGGGGAGCGAACAGG